GACGAACGCUGGCGGCGUGCUUAACACAUGCAAGUCGAACGGAAAGGCCCCUUUGGGGGUACUCGAGUGGCGAACGGGUGAGUAACACGUGAGUAACCUGCCCUUGACUUCGGGAUAACUUCAGGAAACUGGGGCUAAUACCGGAUAGGAAUCCUUGCUGCAUGGUGGGGGUUGGAAAGCUUCGGCGGUUUUGGAUGGACUCGCGGCUUAUCAGCUUGUUGGUUGGGUAGUGGCUUACCAAGGCUUUGACGGGUAGCCGGCCUGAGAGGGCGACCGGCCACAUUGGGACUGAGAUACGGCCCAGACUCCUACGGGAGGCAGCAGUGGGGAAUAUUGCACAAUGGGCGGAAGCCUGAUGCAGCAACGCCGCGGGCGGGAUGACGGCCUUCGGGUUGUAAACCGCUUUCAGCAGGGGCGAAGCUUGUGGUGACGGUACCUGCAGAAGAAGCACCGGCUAACUACGUG
This 465-nucleotide ribosomal RNA is filed under the name uncultured bacterium. RNAcentral's name for it is "partial 16S ribosomal RNA". It matches the Rfam family "Bacterial small subunit ribosomal RNA", at positions 28 to 507 of the family's 1533-position model. The record is from RNAcentral.